This 273-nucleotide ribosomal RNA is filed under the name uncultured bacterium. Its description in RNAcentral is "partial small subunit ribosomal RNA". It matches the Rfam family "Bacterial small subunit ribosomal RNA", at positions 26 to 285 of the family's 1533-position model. The record is from RNAcentral.
AGAAUCAACGCUGGCGGCGUGCCUAACACAUGCAAGUCGAGCGCGAAAGGGGAGCAAUCCCCAAGUAGAGCGGCGAACGGGUGAGUAACGCGUGGGUAAUCUACCUUCGAGUGGGGAAUAACAGCGGGAAACUGCUGCUAAUACCGCAUGACAUCGUCGCUUCUUCGGGAGUGACGAUCAAAGCCGGGGACCGCAAGGCCUGGCGCUUGAAGACGAGCCCGCGUCCGAUUAGCUAGUUGGCGGGGUAAUGGCCCACCAAGGCUCCGAUCGGUA